CAUGUCUAAGUAUAAGCAAUUAUACAGCGAAACUGCGAAUGGCUCAUUAUAUAAGUUAUCGUUUAUUUGAUAGUACCUUACUACUUGGAUAACCGUGGUAAUUCUAGAGCUAAUACAUGCUAAAAAUCCCGACUUCGGAAGGGAUGUAUUUAUUAGAUUAAAAACCAAUGCCCUCUGGGCUCUCUGGUGAUUCAUGAUAACUUCUCGAAUCGCAUGGCCUUGCGCCGGCGAUGGUUCAUUCAAAUUUCUUCCCUAUCAACUUUCGAUGUUUGGGUAGUGGCCAAACAUGGUUGCAGCGGGUAACGGAGGGUUAGGGCUCGACCCCGGAGAAGGAGCCUGAGAAACGGCUACUACAUCCAAGGAAGGCAGCAGGCGCGCAAAUUACCCAAUCCCGACACGGGGAGGUAGUGACAAUAAAUACUGAUACAGGGCUCUUUUGGGUCUUGUAAUUGGAAUGAGUACAAUUUAAAUCCCUUAACGAGGAACAAUUGGAGGGCAAGUCUGGUGCCAGCAGCCGCGGUAAUUCCAGCUCCAAUAGCGUAUAUUAAAGUUGUUGUGGUUAAAAAGCUCGUAGUUGAACCUUGGGCCUGGCUGGCCGGUCCGCCUCACCGCGUGUACUGGUCCGGCCGGGCCUUUCCCUCUGUGGAACCCCAUGCCCUUCACUGGGUGUGGCGGGGAAACAGGACUUUUACUUUGAAAAAAUUAGAGUGCUCCAGGCAGGCCUAUGCUCGAAUACAUUAGCAUGGAAUAAUGAAAUAGGACGUGCGGUUCUAUUUUGUUGGUUUCUAGGACCGCCGUAAUGAUUAAUAGGGACAGUCGGGGGCAUCAGUAUUCAAUUGUCAGAGGUGAAAUUCUUGGAUUUAUUGAAGACUAACUACUGCGAAAGCAUUUGCCAAGGAUGUUUUCAUUAAUCAGGAACGAAAGUUAGGGGAUCGAAGACGAUCAGAUACCGUCGUAGUCUUAACCAUAAACUAUGCCGACUAGGGAUCGGACGAUGUUAUUUUUUGACUCGUUCGGCACCUUACGAGAAAUCAAAGUGCUUGGGCUCCAGGGGGAG
RNAcentral lists this ribosomal RNA (1057 nucleotides) under Ophiocordyceps sinensis. RNAcentral describes it as "SSU rRNA". It matches the Rfam family "Eukaryotic small subunit ribosomal RNA", at positions 54 to 1123 of the family's 1831-position model. Lineage: Eukaryota; Fungi; Ascomycota; Sordariomycetes; Hypocreales; Ophiocordycipitaceae. The record is from RNAcentral.